AGCGAAAUGCGAUACGUAAUGUGAAUUGCAGAAUUCAGUGAAUCAUCGAAUCUUUGAACGCAUCUUGCGCCCCUUGGCAUUCCGAGGGGCACACCCGUUUGAGUGUCGUGAAAUCCUCAACCUUUCCUCCUUUUUUGGAGGAAAAGGCUUGGAUGUUGGAGGCUUUUGCUGGCCUCUUUCUCUGAUGGCAAGCCAGCUCCUCUUAAAGAAAUUAGUGGGAUCCCCUUUGCCGAUCUCCUCGACGUGAUAAGCCUUCUUUGACGUGGCAUCGAGAGGCGGAGAGAGAGGCCUGCUUUCUAACCGUUAGAUGUUUGACCCUUCUGACCUCAAAUCGGGUGAGACUACCCGCUGAACUUAAGCAUAUCAAUAAGCGGAGGAAAAGAAAUUACCAAGGAUUCCCCUAGUAACUGCGAGUGAAGCGGGAAAAGCUCAAAUUUAAAUUC
RNAcentral lists this ribosomal RNA (443 nucleotides) under uncultured Russulaceae. Its description in RNAcentral is "eukaryotic LSU rRNA". The stretch from base 322 to 443 matches the Rfam family "Eukaryotic large subunit ribosomal RNA", at positions 1 to 122 of the family's 3401-position model. Lineage: Eukaryota; Fungi; Basidiomycota; Agaricomycetes; Russulales; Russulaceae. The record is from RNAcentral.